CUACAUUAAAUUAAAAUUAUAAUAAUUAUUUAAUAUUUAAAUAAAAUUGAAAUUUAGUUUUUGAUUAAUUUUAAUAAUGAAAUUUAUAUACAAUUUUAUUUAAUUAAAUUUAAAUUAUAAAAUAUAAAGUUAAAAAAUAAUUAAUGUUAAAUUUAGUAAUUAUUGUAUUUUAAAAUAAUUUUGUGCCAGCAUUUGCGGUUAAACAGAGUAAAAAAGUUAAUUUAUUAAAUUUUUAUUAAUUUAUUUAAAUUUUUAAUAAAUUUUAAUUUUUUGAAGUGAAAUUUUAAAAAUUAAUUAGUUUAAAAAUUUUAUAGGUAAUUAGCUAAGUUAAAUAAUAAAAUAGGAUUAGAUACCCUAGUAUUUUAAUUAAAUAAAGUUAUUAGAGAAUUAAAUGAUAAAUCAUUAAAUUAAAAAAUUUUGGCAGUAUUUUUUAUAAUUAGAGGAAUUUGUUUAUAAAUUGAUGAUCCACGAUAGGAGAAACUUAAUUAAUUUUAUUUAUAUUUGUAUAUUUUCGUUUGAAAUUUAUUUUAGAAGAAUGAAGUUAAAAAUUAUUAUUUAAAUUUAAUAAUAAUUCAGAUCACUAUAUAGUUUAAAUUAAGAUUAGAUGAAUUACUAAGAAUAAGAUUGAAUAUUGGAUAUUUAUAUUAAUGUAAAAUUGAAAAAGGAUUUAAAAGUAAUUUUUAAAAAUAAUUAAUAAUGAAUUUAAUAAAAAUGUGUACAAAUUGCCCGUCAUUCUAUAUUUUUAUAGACAAGUCGUAACAAGGUAAAUUUAUUGGAAAAUGAAU
RNAcentral lists this ribosomal RNA (785 nucleotides) under Dendrocerus sp. ZJUH_2016009. RNAcentral's name for it is "12S ribosomal RNA". Lineage: Eukaryota; Metazoa; Arthropoda; Insecta; Hymenoptera; Megaspilidae. The record is from RNAcentral.